UCUGAGUGGCACAAGUCGAUCAAAUCAAGGCUUUUUGGCAAGCACCUAAUUUCCUGCUGGUCAAGUGUCACAAUCCCGUCUUCGCCCACGCCACGCUCCGCUCCUCCUUGGUACUUCCGGGUUUGGAAUUCCUGUUCCAGCACCAUGACCUGCUCUGUGGUGAACGCAGUGCGUCUGCGUUUGCGCAUCACCACCGGAUUCAGUCCAUCGGCUGAAAGAACGACUGAAAAGAAUAUUAUAGGUAAUCAGAUUAAAAAUAUAUAUUAAAAAAUUAACGCUUUUUAUUAAAAAUAAAGAUGAAACACUUUUAUUUUGAUAUGGUGACAUGCUGUUUUGGAGGUAAAAGAGGCCCCACCGCUGAUGCCGCUAAUGUCGUAUAGAAGUCCGGAGUCUGAAAUAACAUAAAUCAGUAUUUAAUUGAGAUUUUGAAAAUUUAAGACUUGAAUAAAUAGUAUUAUGGAGAAGAUGACGAAGAAGAUUUUUUCAAGUUAUUUAUAAAAUAUUAUGAAGAAGGUAUAUUUUACUGUUGUCUUGGCAGGCGUUGAUAAAUUGAAGAGAAAAACUUCCCAGUAGACCAAAUCAAGGUUUUUUGGCAAAC
Long non-coding RNA from Ostrinia furnacalis (Asian corn borer), 598 nucleotides. RefSeq lists it as uncharacterized. The transcript has 2 exons. The record is from RefSeq and is a predicted model, not a curated record. Lineage: Eukaryota; Metazoa; Arthropoda; Insecta; Lepidoptera; Crambidae.